CAGUAGCCGCGGUAAUACAGAGGGUGCGAGCGUUAAUCGGAUUUACUGGGCGUAAAGCGUGCGUAGGCGGCUUCUUAAGUCGGAUGUGAAAUCCCUGAGCUUAACUUAGGAAUUGCAGUCGAUACUGGGAAGCUAGAGUAUGGGAGAGGAUGGUAGAAUUCCAGGUGUAGCGGUGAAAUGCGUAGAGAUCUGGAGGAAUACCGAUGGCGAAGGCAGCCAUCUGGCCUAAUACUGACGCUGAGGUACGAAAGCAUGGGGAGCAAACAGGAUUAGAUACCCCAGUAGUCCCUGUCUCUUAUAC
Molecule: ribosomal RNA, 301 nt
Filed under: uncultured bacterium
Lineage: Bacteria
Description: partial 16S ribosomal RNA
Rfam family: Bacterial small subunit ribosomal RNA
Source: RNAcentral